Molecule: unclassified non-coding RNA, 321 nt
Filed under: uncultured fungus
Lineage: Eukaryota; Fungi
Description: partial contains small subunit ribosomal RNA, internal transcribed spacer 1, and 5.8S ribosomal RNA
Rfam family: Eukaryotic small subunit ribosomal RNA (bases 1-73)
Source: RNAcentral
UCAAACUUGGUCAUUUAGAGGAAGUAAAAGUCGUAACAAGGUUUCCGUAGGUGAACCUGCGGAAGGAUCAUUAACAAUUUAUCCUCUUUUAUGGAUAAAUUUUAUCCAUAUCCACCUUGUGUGCAUCAUUGAAGUAUUAGUUGGCAGGUGAAAUCCCUUUCGGGGAUUUGAAGUGCAGUGAGCAAAUUUGCCAUUUGCAGCCUGCCAAUUUUUAAUUGUCUCAACAUGUCUACUUUGUAUUUUGGACUGAAAUGUGAUAAUUUAAUAAAUACAACUUUCAACAACGGAUCUCUUGGUUCUCGCAUCGAUGAAGAACGCAGC